Molecule: ribosomal RNA, 253 nt
Filed under: uncultured bacterium
Lineage: Bacteria
Description: partial 16S ribosomal RNA
Rfam family: Bacterial small subunit ribosomal RNA
Source: RNAcentral
UACGUAGGUGGCAAGCGUUGUCCGGAUUUAUUGGGUUUAAAGGGUGCGUAGGCGGCCCUGUAAGUCAGUGCUGAAAUAUCCCGGCUUAACCGGGAGGGUGGCAUUGAUACUGCGGGGCUAGAGUACAGAUGAGGUAGGCGGAAUUGACGGUGUAGCGGUGAAAUGCUUAGAUAUACGGAGGAACACCUGCGGCGAAGGCGGGUAGCUGGGCCAACACUGACGCUGAGACGCGAAAGCUAGGGGAGCAAACGGG